AUUGUAUCAGAGACACACUGAUAGGAGUCGUUCGGAAAAUAUUGAACGUUCUAAGUUCAGGCAUUGUCUGAAGGAGUAGGAGAUUUGUUUUUGGCAACUGCUUUCUAAGGAGAAGGCAGUUAAGAGCAUUUACCUCCAGGAUAUUCAGUGAAGAAAGACAGGAACAUUCUUCAGAGCCUGCAUUUUCUGCUAGGAUGAGGAAACUGAGACACAGAGAUGUUCAAACAAUGUGAAAAGAUCUCAGAGCUGAUUUGGAAACUGAAGAUCAUAGUGACUAAAGCAUCUAUCCAAGGUCACAAAACUUAAAUGUUGCAGCGAAUGUUCAAACUCAGGUCUGACCCCAAACUAAAAGUCCCACCUGCUGCUGCUGCUGCUGCUGCUGCUGCUGCUGCUGCUGCUGAGUAUGUACUAAAUGGAUGAAUUACUCCAAAUUUUCAGGUCACCUGCAAAAGAAAAGAGACCUUGAAAAAGAGAUAAUUUGCCCUGACUGGUGUCACUCAGUGGACUAAAUGCUGGCUUGCAAACAAAUGUCACCAGGUUGAUUUCCAGUGAGGGCACAUGCCUGGGUUGCAGGCCAGGUCCCCAU
Phyllostomus discolor (pale spear-nosed bat) is the source of this 586-nucleotide long non-coding RNA. RefSeq lists it as uncharacterized. Lineage: Eukaryota; Metazoa; Chordata; Mammalia; Chiroptera; Phyllostomidae. The transcript is spliced from 3 exons. The record is from RefSeq and is a predicted model, not a curated record.